GUCACGCUUUGUGUUGUAUCUGCCCUGUA
Molecule: non-coding RNA, 29 nt
Filed under: Mus musculus (house mouse)
Lineage: Eukaryota; Metazoa; Chordata; Mammalia; Rodentia; Muridae
Source: RNAcentral